UCUGAAAUUAUCAUACUAUUUUUUUUUCUUUUAGAUAUUUUCAUAAUAUCAGCUGUAAAAUUUCUUGUAGGAUAUUCAGCAGCUUAUAAUAAUAGUAUAAAUAUAAUUAUUUGUUAAAUAAAAAUAGUUUCAACCAUUAACAAAUUAACAAGUAUUCCCAAAAUUUCUUUCCACUCAGAAACCUCUCUGGUAAAGGAGCGUCUCCGAUCUCCCCUCUUGUUCUCACUUAUUAUAUUUCUCUUUCAUAUUUUUCUAAUUUUUUUAAUGAUCAUAGUUCAUCCCUUUCAUAAAAGAUCAUUUUAUAAAAAGAAAUUGUUUUAAAAAUAUAGUUUUAUAUUUUCAGUAUAAUAUUGUUAACUAAUAAUAAUUAAUUAUGGACUUCAAAAAAUUAAUUAUUGUUGCUAAAUUUUUGUUAGUUUAUAUUUAUAGAAAAUAGAUAAUCCUAAAAUAUGUUUGUAAUUGAAAUUUAAUAUAUUUAUUAACAUGUGUUAGAUAUGCAUCAUUUUGAAACAAAGAGAAUACGAUAGAUUAAAAUAUCAGAUUUCCCUCU
RNAcentral lists this long non-coding RNA (550 nucleotides) under Brassica napus (rape). Its description in RNAcentral is "long non-coding RNA (BNAP_LNC023082)". The record is from RNAcentral. Lineage: Eukaryota; Viridiplantae; Streptophyta; Magnoliopsida; Brassicales; Brassicaceae.